CCUACGGGCGGCAGCAGUGGGGAAUAUUGGACAAUGGGGGCAACCCUGAUCCAGCCAUGCCGCGUGUGUGAAGAAGGCCCUCGGGUUGUAAAGCACUUUCAGUGAGGAAGAACGCCUGGUGGUUAAUACCCAUCAGGAAAGACAUCACUCACAGAAGAAGCACCGGCUAACUCCGUGCCAGCAGCCGCGGUAACACGGAGGGUGCGAGCGUUAAUCGGAAUUACUGGGCGUAAAGCGCGCGUAGGUGGCUUGAUAAGCCGGUUGUGAAAGCCCCGGGCUCAACCUGGGAACGGCAUCCGGAACUGUCAAGCUAGAGUGCAGGAGAGGAAGGUAGAAUUCCCGGUGUAGCGGUGAAAUGCGUAGAGAUCGGGAGGAAUACCAGUGGCGAAGGCGGCCUUCUGGACUGACACUGACACUGAGGUGCGAAAGCGUGGGUAGCGAACAGGAUUAGAUACCCUAGUAGUC
RNAcentral lists this ribosomal RNA (465 nucleotides) under Vreelandella stevensii. Its description in RNAcentral is "partial 16S ribosomal RNA". It matches the Rfam family "Bacterial small subunit ribosomal RNA", at positions 338 to 795 of the family's 1533-position model. Lineage: Bacteria; Pseudomonadati; Pseudomonadota; Gammaproteobacteria; Oceanospirillales; Halomonadaceae. The record is from RNAcentral.